GAGGAUGGCGGACGGGUGAGUAACGCGUAAGGAACUUGCCUCUUGGACUGGGACAACUGUUGGAAACGACAGCUAAUACCGGAUAUUAUGAGAUUCUCGCAUGAGAAACUUAUGAAAGCUAUAUGCGCCAAGAGAGAGCCUUGCGUUCCAUUAGCUAGUUGGUGGGGUAACGGCCCACCAAGGCGACGAUGGAUAGCCGGCCUGAGAGGGUGAACGGCCACAAGGGGACUGAGACACGGCCCUUACUCCUACGGGAGGCAGCAGUGGGGAAUAUUGGACAAUGGGCCACAAGCCUGAUCCAGCAAUUCUGUGUGCACGAUGAAGGUCUUCGGAUUGUAAAGUGCUUUCAGUUGGGAAGAAGAAAGUGACGGUACCAACAGAAGAAGCGACGGCUAAAUACGUGCCAGCAGCCGCGGUAAUACGUAUGUCGCAAGCGUUAUCCGGAUUUAUUGGGCGUAAAGCGCGUCUAGGCGGAAAAAUAAGUCUGAUGUUAAAAUGCGGGGCUCAACUCCGUAUUGCGUUGGAAACUGUUUUUCUAGAGUACUGGAGAGGUGGGCGGAACUACAAGUGUAGAGGUGAAAUUCGUAGAUAUUUGUAGGAAUGCCGAUGGAGAAGUCAGCUCACUGGACAGAUACUGACGCUGAAGCGCGAAAGCGUGGGGAGCAAACA
RNAcentral lists this ribosomal RNA (669 nucleotides) under uncultured bacterium. RNAcentral's name for it is "bacterial SSU rRNA". It matches the Rfam family "Bacterial small subunit ribosomal RNA", at positions 91 to 774 of the family's 1533-position model. The record is from RNAcentral.